UCCCUGGUGGCUCAGUGGUAAAGAACCUGCCUGCAAUGCAGGAGACCCAGGUUCGAUCCCUGGGUCGGGAA
RNAcentral lists this transfer RNA (71 nucleotides) under Ovis aries (sheep). It matches the Rfam family "tRNA". From Rfam's summary of the family: Transfer RNA (tRNA) molecules are approximately 80 nucleotides in length. Their secondary structure includes four short double-helical elements and three loops (D, anti-codon, and T loops). The record is from Rfam by way of RNAcentral. Lineage: Eukaryota; Metazoa; Chordata; Mammalia; Artiodactyla; Bovidae.